Long non-coding RNA from Triticum urartu, 3015 nucleotides. RefSeq lists it as uncharacterized. NCBI's taxonomy places the organism in Eukaryota, Viridiplantae, Streptophyta, Magnoliopsida, Poales, Poaceae. The record is from RefSeq and is a predicted model, not a curated record.
GUGAGAGAGAAAUUGUCCCAUCCGCGUGCCGCGCCCGCACCCAACGCAACCCAAUCCCCUCGUCCCGCACGCCGUGCACACUCCGGUCCCCUCAUCCCGCACGAACCCUAGGAGAGAGAGAUAGGAAGAUGAGAGGGAGAGGAAGGGGAGAGGAGAGGAGAGGGAGGUCCGGCAGCGGACGGGAGAGGGUGACCGGCCGGCGUUGGCCUGCGCCCCUCCUCGCGCACGAACCCUAGCUGAGAGACAAAAUGAGGGGGAGAGAGAGAAGGAAGGAGAGGAGGGAGAAAGAGAGAGGAAAUAGGAAAGGGAGGUGCGGUGGCUGACAGGAGAGAGGGUCAUCGGCCGACGCCGGAGAGGACGGGCCUGACCUGGACGUGACUUGGAGGUUGGCGGCGGCUCGAUCCACUCCUGGAUCGGGAGCUGCGACGAGUCCGGGGCUCGGGCACGUUGUACGGGGUGGUCUCGCCGGCGAUGACAGGGCUGACCGGCCGGAGUUGGAUCGAGAUCCCAACUGGCACGGCUCAGCUCCAACUCCCUCUUCCACCUCUCCGCUCCCCAACACUCAAAUCUGGCUCUUCUGCACACAUCAGUAGCUAUGGAAAGAAAGCUUGUAGUGGAGUGGGUUCCUUUGUAUGAUCUUGGAAGAUGAUGACCUCUGAAGCCCAUUAGAAAGCAUGGCAAUGGCUUAAGGUUAGCGCAUUUCAAGAAGCCAACAGAUCGCCGCCUACUUCCUUAGGCUGACAAUCACCUGCGGGAUAAAGUGCGAUGUUUUGCCUGAGACAGGAUCAAGGACUGGGCCUACGUGGUCGUCGCGCACGAACCGGUGUAGCCCAUUGGCACUGGUAAAGUUGUAUCGGUGGCUCAGGCACAUGAAGACCAGGUUGCUCAUCAGUUGGAUGUGGAGUUGCUUCUGAGCUAGGACUCUCCCAUUAUCACUACAUAGAAAAAGAUACAUCCAUUUUGGUUUCUAAUGUCUGUUUUUGCCUAAGAAAAAAAGGUAACAAGUUUAUAUUGUUGUAUGGUUCUCAGUUUGUCUUUUCAAACUAUUAGAUUGUCCGGAACAUCUAGGAAUGACCUUUUUGUGUCCCCAAUAUUAUCCUAUUUUGUGAAUAAUCUUAUAUUGUUGAUGCUGCAUACAAUCAAAGUAUGUUCUUAUAAUCAUACUUAUGGCUAGCCAAAUUUUAUGGGUCCAACCUUAUACUCAUUAGAUACAACCUUUGUAUCUGCUUUUGCCAGUUGUCGCUUGCCAGGUGUGACCUAGUGGGUGGUGGCGGCUCGAUCCACUCUUGGAUCCUUCUUACACUUCCCUGCCGGCUAGGUCAGCUAUGACCUGGUGGGUGGUGGCGGCUCGAUCCACUCUUGGAUCCUUCUUACACUUCCCUGACGUCUAGGUCAGCUACGACCUGGUGGUUGGUGGCGGCUUGAUCCACUCCUGGAUCCUUCUCCCACUUGCCUGUUGCCUAACACCGAGCACCCGGAUAGGAGCAUGGGAUCGACGGUGGCCGGAAACAUGAUUUAAAAUGGGACUUUAUACCACCAAAUAAGAAUGUGUGUACAUAUAUCUCAUUGUACACAACAACACACCAUUUUUUGGGUAAUACUCUACCCAGGCUUAAUUCGUCCUAGCAAAAGAAAUCACAUCAUGAGCAAAAGAACGAAUUCGCUACUAACGUUUCAAAUCAAGAUUUAUCCAUCUAACAGUCCCAAAAUAUAUUUCUGUUCUCAUUAUUGCAAUAGCCUUUUCUGUACCAACAAUGUGACACUACACUACAAUAUAUUUUCACAGGCCAUGGAAAAAUAAAGAAUUUGACAAUAGAUAGCCUCCAGUCCAAAAUUAUAAUUUUGCGUGCACUUUGGAUCUAUUGGAUGCCUGAAAAUAUCGUUCCUCAUGUAAUCUAACCGUUACACCUCUUGAGUCCAAUUAGGAACUCUUUCAUUAUUGGUUAUAAAGUGUUUGCUUUGGUCAGUUAAUACUCCCUCUGUUCAUAAAUACAAGACAUUUUAGAGACAAGCUGCAUAUUUAAUGAAGCAUCCACUUGCUGUAGAAAGCAUGUUUUAUGGUCUAUACCAGGUAAGGUGUUCAGUAACCUAUUUAACAAUGCUUUCCAGCUUCUUUCCAUGUUCUAACAUACUUCAUGUGUUGUGUAAUAAUCUACUGAUGGCCAGUUACAACUCCAUUUCACUAUGGACACUGCAUAUGAUGUUCUUUAUUUUGUACAUUUUAGUUGCUGCCUCAAGCCUUGGCUCUUUUUCUAGACUAGGCCUCAAUUUAUGGGAAAAUGCAGUCUUCAUUUACUGAGUUAUAUUUUUGUCUUGGUUUCUUCCAGGUCCCUCGUACAGUGGUUCAGAAAAAAAACCCUAUCCAAUGGAGAUGAUGCAUGAGGAGCGGCAAAGUCAUGAUCCAUAAAGCCCUAUGUUAUUCUUUUUCUCACUGUGAUUUUACUUUUUAUGGUUGGAUGCCAAGUAGCCAAGCAGGCGCUUUUUCGUAGAUUAGUUGCUUAGUUUCAUAAGUUGAACUGCGUUGUCGAGUUCAGUGUGUAGGCUCUUUCUUGAUUGCUCAGCAGGCGAUCAAUGCGGCACAUGUGGAGGCUGUGAGAGCUGUGAAUGGCACCGGUCUUGUCAUACUUAUGAGCAGGAGCACGUGCCACAUUACUCUUCAUGCCACUCUGAGUAGCCAAGAUGUUGACUGCUGGUUGAGAUUGAUUUCCACGUUGAAUGGAAGGGAGACCUAUUUGAGUUCCUGUAUGAAAGGGUAAAGAAGAAGGGGCAUGUUGUUGUGGUUGUUGCUGAAGGCGUUGGUCAGGAGUUGAUUACCUGGACUGAUGACCAGAACCGAGAGCGGGAUGAGUAUGUCAACAUGUUGGUCUUUGACAUUGGCCUUAAGUUUACAUGCAACUCUCCUCCAUGGUUACUCAUUUCUGUUACCGUUGUUGUAUCAAAACAAUUGUAUUUUUGUUGAUGGCCGCUUGGGCUCAUUUUCGAGGAGAAUGAGAUGUGGGAUAAACUACUCUGAAA